Quercus robur (English oak) is the source of this 855-nucleotide long non-coding RNA. RefSeq lists it as uncharacterized. Lineage: Eukaryota; Viridiplantae; Streptophyta; Magnoliopsida; Fagales; Fagaceae. The record is from RefSeq and is a predicted model, not a curated record. The transcript has 4 exons.
AGCAGACAAAGCUGCACACGCUCGGAUCUAGAAGCAUGGCCCAGACGGCGGAUAUCAUUGCAAAAAAGAAAGGCAAGCAACUAGAGAGAAGUGAGAUGUACGCAGUGGCGUAUUCUCACUGCGAUGGUGUUGCUGUGAAUGCCACUGCGGAAGCGAACAUUGCAAAGAUGAAACAUCUUAUGACAGAGGGGUCACAGUUGCGGGGAAAUGACAUUGAGGCAGGCAUACUUUGGCAGCCCGACGAUGCAUUUGCAUAGGUCCUCGCUGCAGAGAGAAGUGGUCGUGUUAGAGGGGUAGGCUUUGGUCCAACCCCCUCUAGAAAUCGUGCGAGGUCAAUGGAUGAUAGUACGCCACCUCCAACAUCUACUGUGACUGAACAAAAGGUUAUCGAGUUGUCUGCUGAAGUAGAAGAAAUGAAAGAGAAAUGCGCGCAUUAUGAUGCUGAAAUGAGGUUAAUGCAGAGGAUGUUGACUUCACUGUACCCAUCGUUUCCCAGUCUGUCUACGGAUGGUGAUGGUGAUUCUGCAGUGGAUAUCCAGUCUCCCGGUGCUCAACACUUAUCAUUUGAUGAUACGCAAUAGGCGAUACUUUUGGCACCUAUUUUGGAGUAGUUAUUAUGAUAUUUUGAUAUUUAUAAUAAAGUUUCAAACUUUGAUACAUAUGUACACAUCAUAGUUGGAAACUUUAUUAUAAUAUUCUAGACAAUUAGAAUGUAUUCUUUUAUGCAAAACAUUCUAUAUAGUUAAAAUGUAUUCUUUUGUGUAGGACAUUGUACAUAGUUGUUUAGAAUGUAUUAUUUUGUUCAUAACAUUCUAGACACUUGGAAUGUAUUAUUUUGUGUAUAAAAUUCUAGAC